This 755-nucleotide long non-coding RNA is filed under the name Prunus persica (peach). Its description in RNAcentral is "long non-coding RNA (PPER_LNC007057)". Lineage: Eukaryota; Viridiplantae; Streptophyta; Magnoliopsida; Rosales; Rosaceae. The record is from RNAcentral.
GGACACGGAUACGGAUACGGGGAUACGAUACGACACGAUACGGGGAUACGACAAAUUUCUAAAAAUUAGGAUACGAUACGUCGUGGAUACGGCAAUUUAAAUAAUAUAUAAUAAUUUUAAAAAUAACAAUAUAUAUAAUUUAUAACAUAUUUUAAAUAACAUAAAAAUGAUAAUAUUAUUACUUUUGAUAUUAUUACUUUUAACAUACUUCCACUUGUCUUGGUUAUAAUAUUAUUACUUUUAAUAAGACAAACAAAACAAAAUCCUUUAGUCAAAACGAUAAGACCAGCCAUCACGUGGGGUGUGGGUGAAACUGUGAAUAUUAAACAAACAAAAUCCUUUGACCUAACAAGAACAAAACAAAAUCCUUUUGUCAAAGAAACAGAGAAGAGAACCCGACGCCGCCGACAAUGAAGAAUGAAGAAGAAGAAAUUGAUGAGUAGGGGCGCCGCUGGAUGAACAAGAAAAAGGAAGAUCUGGGCUUCUUAAGGACGAAGAAGAAGAAUUGAUGAGCGGGGGCACCGCUGGAUGCAGAAGAAGAAGGAAGAUCUGAAAAAAGAAGUGGAGACGUUUCCUGAUACGCGUAUCCUAAACAUCAGAUACUCGUAUCUGUAAUGUCAGAUACGCGUAUCUUUUUGUCGUUGACCGUAUCCGCUUACUCGGAUACGUAUCCAUCGCGUAUCCGCACGUAUUCACAGCGUAUCGUAUCCCCUAGCGUAUCGGAUACGGGAUACGCACCUCAACCAGCGUAUCCG